This 7169-nucleotide long non-coding RNA is filed under the name Lathyrus oleraceus (garden pea). RNAcentral describes it as "Pisum sativum (pea) long non-coding RNA (PSAT_LNC039881)". Lineage: Eukaryota; Viridiplantae; Streptophyta; Magnoliopsida; Fabales; Fabaceae. The record is from RNAcentral.
AAUAAUAACAUUACUAUAGUAAUGUAGUAAAAGCAUUACUGUAAAAGAUUUUGUGAAUUUAUGUCGAGAAAAGUAGCAAUCAUGUCUUUACACAAAGAAAAAUGAAAAUCCUAUCCUUUAAAAAGCUAAAACAUGUACAUGUACUAUAUCAGCGACCAUCUAUAGACUUUCAAGAAGACAAUGCCAAAGGUACUAAUGAGUUAUAAGGUCUCAAAUCACAAGUUUCAAAGCAAAGGUCAAUAAUUCUAAAUCCAUAACUCCACAAUGAUACUAAGGAUAGUAACCACAAGUCCAUGAAUCAGGAUAAUCAAGGUUCUUUUUAGGUUUUUUCUUUAUUAAUGUCUUUUUUACAAUGACAUGAAAGUAAAGUCCAAAUGGACAAAGAACAAAUGAGAAAAUCACAAAUAAUAUGAUAUGGGAUGCUAACAUAAAGAAUAAAGUAAAUGGUAUAAAGGUAAAAUCAUAAAGUAAAUGACAUAACAAUAUAAAGCAUAAGUAAAUGAUAUUUGAAGUAAAAGUUAAUACAAUAAAAUGUUAGUAAAUGAUGUUAGUAAUUAAGAUGAAAGAUUGUUUGGUCAUUUUUGGAGAACACUCAACUAUCAACUCACAAGCAUGAAUAUAAACAUAUACAUCAUUUUAUGAGAAGGGCUCCAACUUGGAUAAAAUCAAGCAAGUAUGCCACUAGCUCUCAUAAAUGGAAAAAGAGAAAUAUUUUCACACAAUACUAUGAGGAGUAGGAGACUUACAAUCUCACUUAUAAAAAUGCCUUUGCUUUUGAGACAAAUUUAACACUAUGUUAAACAAUCGUAAUUGGACUUAUGUAGAAGUUACAACUAUCUAAGGUCGGCCAAUAAUAAUGUUUAUGUUAAUAUAUGCUAGAGAAACAAUAUGUAAAUCAUUCUCCCAAAGUCAUGCCACAAAAAAAAAGGAUGAUCAAACACAAAGGCUAAAAGGAUGGUCCAUUACUUCAAUCCACACUUCAUGACACUUAGGAAAAACUUAUGCAUCAAUCCAAAGUACCUUAACUAAUCCAUGAUCACUUAGAAGAUAGAUUUGAAAUGAUGAAAAUUCAUCAAGUACCAAUCCAUACAUCAUGAAUAAGAUGGACAAAAACCAUCUAAUCAAUCAUCCCAUCAACACCCAAGAUCCAUUGAGUAUGAUGAGACUUGAAGUCUAAACCAUCAUGAUCUAAGACCAACAGAAGUUCACAAGAGUCACAAAAUAUAAAAUGAAAUUAAGUGAAAUAAAAAUGCACCAAAGGUAUUUUUUAAAUGAAUUUUAAAAUAGAAAUUUUUACCUUUUAGGUAUUUCAGGAAGUUUUGUGAUUUAUUUACGCCCAAAAAAUUAUGGAAGGUUGGAAAUAAAAUAAGAAGCAUAUAAUCAUUUUUUCAGAAUUUAAAAUUGCAGAAAAGUAUUUUUAAACCAAUUAAAAUAAAGAAGAAAAGAGAAAAGAGAAAAGAGAAAAUUCAUAAAAAAUAGAAAGUUAGUGAAAUGAAAUGAAAAUAAAUAAAAAUCAGAUGAAAAAAAUAAAAGAGAAUUUUAGAAAUGAUUUUGGAUAAAUAAUGUAAUUAUAUGAAUUUUAAAAGAAAAAUAAAUUAAAAAUAAUAAAAGAAAAAGAAUUAAAAAAAAAAAAAAACACGGAGCGUUGGAUCACGCCUCAUUAACUAACGUGGCAGAUCUAACACUUCACAUGUUAAAGAACACGAUGAAACGCGUUGCAAGCAAUACACAUGAUCCAAUUCAAAUCCAACCCAUCAGAAUAUUUCAUUCCUCCAACGUGUCUAACUAAACUCAAACAACCUGAGAAAACUCCGGUCGUCUUUUCCGGUGAGCUCUCAUCGGAGCUUCAUCUUUUGGUAAAGUCAGAACACGAGACCACCACCAUUAUGACCCUCUUCUCAUCCUGAAUUCAACCUCAUGCUACAAAUUCAUUUAUAUAAACUUAACAAAGGGAAUUUUAGAGAAGUUUCAUAAAUAAGCAAGCCAUGAAAAAUUAAAUUAAAUGAUGAACACGAUCAAUCAACACCAGAUAAGUUAGGGGAAAGAAUCAGAGAGUGAAUGACUAAAUUAUGGUAACUUAUUUGAGUUCAAAUGAUGCUCAAAACUACCUUUUCCAAAUGGUGAUGAGAAGUUGAUAAAACUCGAUUUGGUUAGAGCACUUCAGAAGGUCUCAGAGCUUGGGAAUUGUUGCAAAAAUUUCAGAGGAUGCCGAAGGUGCUAAUGGAAUAAAAAAUUGGAUUGAAACAAGCUGAAACUCAACAUGAUAGUUGAAUUUUCUGGAAAAAGUUUCAAGUUGCAGCAGGAUUUCUUGUCUCUCAAAAGCUUGGAAAUGAAUGCAAUAGCUUCCUCUAUUUAUAGGAAACGUGAUUGGAUCAAAAUACGUGUGAAAUGGUGCAGAAUUCCUACAAAAUGAAUUUGAUCCGAGUCUGAGAAAAGUGUGACUUGAAACUCCUUAAAAUGCAGCCAAAUGAUGCAUUUUAAGGGUCAGUUAACUUAUAAUGACUUGGUUAAACAUGUUUAGUUCCAAAACACAUGCUAAUUCGGUUUGGAAUUGAGAUUAGUGAAGUUCAAAACUCGGGCAAUGAUAAUUUCUUCAGUUACAAGUCACCAUGUUCAACCCAAUGAGGCACCCUACUCAGGAGGCUUUUUGAUCCCAUUCUUUUUGCAAUGUGUUAACAUCAUGUCAAAGAUUACAAUAUGCCAAGAAAGGUUGUAUUUGGAUGCUUAAGUACAAAUUUAUGUCAUGUUGAAGUUGGCAUUAGAAACUAAUCAUACAACUUAGAAACAUUUGAGUGCUUCAUGGCUGAAAGUGACCUGUAAUGUUUCAAUGAAUUCCAUGGCCUUCUAAGCAUAUUCUAACCUUGAUCCUUGAAGCAAAAUUAUAGAGGGAGUCACAAUUGGCAUUGUGAAAAAAGAAUCGGCCUCAUAUUUGAAAAUAGAAGAAGUUAUUAUCUUUUAAAGUUGGGAAAAAGUCACUUGAAAAUAGGUCAAAUUUCAUUAAGUCCACAAAUGACCUAUAAUGUCUCCAAACUUUUGAUGAUCCUCCAAGAAUAAUAAACUCUUGUCAUGUAAAGAGAAGUUGCAGGGGAUGUUGAGAAGAGUCAUAUGCAAAAAUGAGCAUUCAAAAAAUGUUGAGAAUUGAAGGAGUUGUGAUUCUUGGAACCUUGGCUUUAAAAUAUUGACUUUUUGGUCAAACCACAUGGAACAAGCUUGUGCAUUUGGACCUUUCUUGCAUUUCAAAGCUCAUGGGUGAUCAUAUGAACUCAAAAUAAGGCACCCUUGAUUUUCUCUUGAUUAAAUUGCUCAAAGUUUAAAGAUGCUUGUUGAAGAAGGCAUGAAAAUAAACACAUGAACCUUUGACUUUCCUUGAGAAGUAAGCCACAGAACUUUGAGAUGCUCUUGAUUGAAAAUCCCUAACUUGCAAUAUAAAUUUAAUAAAACACAUUUUUUGCUAUUUUUAUUAGUGAUUAGAUAAUCAAUUAAUCAUGUAAACAUAAAGAUAAAACAUCAACAAAGAGGUGUUUGAUGAUCUUUGCGAAAAGCAAACCCAAAGAUGGAUAAGGGGAAUGACCAAGAUGUGACCUUGUUUUUGUGUAAAUGAUGCAAAUGAUAUAUGGGAUCUUAGGGUUAAAAAUUAUGGUAUGACAGUUGUAGUACCCCAAAAUCCCCCAGAGAAGAGAUUCAUUUGUUUCUUUUGAGGAGAUUAGUGUAGACCAUUGAGUGGCUCUGAUAUCCCCGUUCUGUUUUGGAGAUUGGUAUAAGUCCAGUGAUUGGCAUCCGAUAUCCGCUUUUGUUGACUUUCUUUCUUGUUUGUUUGUUAUUAUCCAUUGUUAUUCCAAAGGACACACUUGAAUCAUCUCCUAUAUGAUCUCAAGAAGUGAACCUUCUAAGAAGUUUUACAAUCCAUCUUCAUCCAUUCAUCCAUUAUAUCCUAAACCUUUUCAACACUUUGAAUUCAAACUUGACAUAGAUAUUGUGGCAAACAUCUUCAUGUUUUCAAACUAAAAACCUGUACCCAAGUCCUUGACUUUUUUCAAACUCCAUUUCAUAAUACUCUUUUGAAUUAAUCUUAAUCAUACUUUGACUCCACUUUCAUAAUCACAAUCAAUUAACUUCACUCAUUCUUGUUUUGGCUUUGUCAUUGUUAAUCUUUUCAUGCAUUAGCCAUAGGUUUCAAUUAUCUUUGUGGUUGAUGUAAAUCUUGCCUAUCCUUAGUGAGUCGACAGUAAGACUUCCGUACUGAAAACAGGGCUAACCCCUCUAGUACGUCGAAGCUAUCCUCGCAUGGUGGAUGUUGGUCUUGGUCGAGUUUUCUCCAUUGAUAAUGAAAAGCCUCAGUGCUAUUGUUUAAAAUCAAUCCACCAACUUUUGGAAAUCUUUUAGCCGAACUACGGCGUUUUGAUCCUUACCUUUGAUGGAAGGUACGUAGGCAGCGGGUUCAUCCGUUCAGAACCCAAUAAUAAAAAUUGUACAUUCUUUUCUCAUCAUCCCAAUCAUGUUUGCACAAUAUUUAUGUCAUAACAAAUAACAAUUUAUACAACAAGUGUGAAAAGGGCUCCUAGGAGUCACCUAGGACGUAGUGGGUGCCUAACACCUUCCCAUUGUGUAAUUUACCCCUUACCCAGACUCUCUGAUCUUUUUAUUAGUUUUUUACGUGUAAACUUCUUAGACUUUUGUUCGCUUUUUAGCCAGUCUUUGGAUAAAUAAAAGUGCGGUGGCGACUCGAAAUUUCAUUGUAUACCUUGCUUAUGGUUUAAUCAAUAAAUCAUAUAGCGACGAACGAAUACACCGCUACAUACCCCAAACCCCCCCCCCCCCUCAUUUUGCUUUUUUUCCUAACCUUAUUCAUGUCUCAUUAACACAACAUCAUUCAGUCAUGAUUAACACUUGCUAACGAGUAUCAUAGAUUCAAAGUUCAUGGUAGAUAAAAUCAGGGAUUUGGCUUGAAGAUUGUGGUUUUCCUCAUCAUGUGGGGUGAAACUCUGAUUGCUUGGUUGAUGACUUUUGAGGAUCCUUUUGGUUUGCUUUGACUUGGAACCCUAUCUGUGGUUCCUGACAUUAGUGCAUUGCUUGUACUGACUAUCUCUUGGUUGGAGAUUUUGGUUAUUACUUGACACUGCUAUUUGAGUAACUAAACCCUUACUGCAUGGCUCGUGUUUGAUCGGUGCCAAGCAUGCUUGCAUUCGUAUUCCACUACACCAGGUCAUUAAUUGCGUUUGACCCCGAGUCACUUCACCCAUUAAUUCCAGUGGACUUCAUUGAUUUAAAGUUCAUUUGAUUCAGUUUGAUCAAUCAUGGCAUGAUCACUAGGUGUCACUAUCAUGCAUUCAUAAAAUAUAUUAGUUCUAAUUGGUUCAUGGUCCUCUUAAACACAACAUUUUUAAUCAGAGAAGUUUAUUUCAUCAUCUUUUGUAUCAGUUGACUUUUUGGUCAACCAGUUGAACCAAGUCAACUUAUCAUACUUGACCAUGNAGUUGACCAAAGUCAACUUAUCAUACUUGACCAUGACAUUUAGCAUAAAUAUCAACUGUCAUUUCGUCAUUGCUUCAAAUUGAUUUUAAAUUCAAAUUGAUUGUAUAAAUUUCGUAUUAAUGGGCCAUGAUUGGCAAAUUAAUAGUUGGCCCUUUCAUUCAUUCAUUAUUAUAUCAAAAAUUCAGCACAAGGAUUACAAUUUGUUUCACAUGUUAAGCCCACGACUCAAAAUUAACAUCCGAUUCCACUAUUUCUUUUUUACCAACAAUUAUCCAAUUUCCAUAUCGAUUUUGUGAAUCAUUUCUCUUACCCAAAUGCUACUAUGUUCAUAUCCAUCAAAAUCCAUUCACCUAAAUGCCCAUUUUCCAUAUCCAACGCAAACCAAAUUACCUUCUCAAUACAUAAACAACAUGAACCAUGUUCAUUGAGCUUUUUCAUUCCAAUUCCCAAAUUUCUUAGAAGUUGAUCACCGACACAUAAUAUUGGAUCAUCAUAAACCGACUUGAACCACACACUUUCAUUUUUCGGUUCAUGUAAUUUCUAACGUCCUUCCAAAUAUCAAUCAUUUUUGUAUUUCAAUUUCACCAAUCAUAUUCAAUCACACAAAUCCAUUCUAUUUCCAAGGUCACAACACUAUUUGUUUUAUAUAAGCACAUUACAUACAUUCCAUUACAAAUUUUCAAAACCAAACUCAUUAUAAUUUCAAACCUAACAUUAAAAUUCCAAACACCAUUUUGCUUACACAUUCAAAUUCUAAUUCUAUUCAAUCCAAGUGCAUCGUAUUACAACUCUAACUCCAUUCUAAUUCCAAAUACAUUUGCAUUUGAAUCGAAAAUUGCAUUACAACACUUUAUGCCAAUACGUAAACCAUACAUUCAAAACAAUGCUAAUCCAUCUCAAGAGUCACAAAAAUUAUAGGGAGACUAAAUCCAAGUAAGUACUAACAUGCUAAAAUAAUUUCCAAGACAUCACCAUCUUCAUGCCAUUGUCAUUCAAAGACCAAGUUAGUUUCCCUUCCAUGAACUACCUGUAAAAAACCGAGAAAAAGCCACUAGCAGUAGAAUAAGCAGCAUUGCAGGAUUUUUAAGUCCAACAGAAAAUAAAAUCGCAGAAAACAACUUCCUAAAUAACAUCCCAAUGCCAUCAACCAACUUAACAAAACCUCAACCAACUUAACAAACUACAACCUGUCAAUAAAUUCUAACUGCCUAACCGAAUUAACUAACCAAUAGUUUUCACUAACACAAUAAAAACCAAAACAGAUUUGCAACUAACUGUAACAGAUAUCCAACUAACUUCUUAACCUCCAACCGACUCAACCGAACAAUAAAAAGAAUUAGGAUAAAAAGCUAUCAAGGUUUAUUUUGAAUACUAUUAUGAUGAGAGUAUUUAAAAAUAUCUUUGUAUGAGUAUCAAUCAUUCUUCUUUAAAUAACUUUAGUACGAAUAAAUAUAAUAAUAACAUUACUAUAGUAAUGUAGUAAAAACAUUACUGGAAAAGAUUUUGUGAAUUUAUGUCGAGAAAAGUAGCAAUCAUGUCUUUACACAAAGAAAAAUGAAAAUCAUAUCCUUUAAAAAGCUAAAACAUGUACAUGUACAUGUACAUGUACUACAUCAGCGACCAUCUAUAGACUUUCAAGAAGACAAUGAUCAACAAAAAUACGAAGGUGUACAUUAAUUGUGUUCGGUUAAUUUUGC